Molecule: ribosomal RNA, 538 nt
Filed under: uncultured bacterium
Lineage: Bacteria
Description: bacterial SSU rRNA
Rfam family: Bacterial small subunit ribosomal RNA
Source: RNAcentral
CCUACGGGAGGCAGCAGUGGGGAAUUUUGGACAAUGGGCGAAACCCUGAUCCAGCAAUGCCGCGUGAGUGAAGAAGGCCUUCGGGUUGUAAAGCUCUUUUGUCAGGGAAGAUACACCGGCUCUAACACAGUCCGGGAAUGACGGUACCUGAAGAAUAAGCACCGGCUAACUACGUGCCAGCAGCCGCGGUAAUACGUAGGGUGCGAGCGUUAAUCGGAAUUACUGGGCGUAAAGCGUGCGCAGGCGGUUAUACAAGACAGGCGUGAAAUGCCCGGGCUUAACCUGGGAAUGGCGCCUGUGACUGUAUAGCUAGAGUGUGUCAGAGGGGGGUAGAAUUCCACGUGUAGCAGUGAAAUGCGUAGAGAUGUGGAGCAAUACCAAUGGCGAAGGCAGCCCCCUGGGAUAACACUGACGCUCAUGCACGAAAGCGUGGGGAGCAAACAGGAUUAGAUACCCUGGUAGUCCACGCCCUAAACGAUGCUGACUAGUUGUUCGGGAUUUACAUCCUGAGUAACGUAGCUAACGCGUGAAGUCAGCC